CCCUUAGAUGUUCUGGGCUGCACGCGCGCUACACUGAAGCUAUCAACACGUUUUCCCUCCCUGAGAAGGGCGGGUAACCUUUUGAAUCAGCUUCGUGGUAGGGAUCGGGGCUUGCAAUUGUUCCCCGUGAACCAGGAAUUCCUAGUAGACGCGAGUCAUAAGCUCGCAUCGAUUAAGUCCCUGCCCUUUGUACACACCGCCCGUCGCUACUACCGAUUGAACGUUUUAGUGAGGCAUUUGGACCGACGCACCUCAGUUUAACCGCUGGUUUGUGUUGGAAAGACUUCCAAACUUGAGCGUUUAGAGGAAGUAAAAGUCGUAACA
Molecule: ribosomal RNA, 324 nt
Filed under: uncultured eukaryote
Lineage: Eukaryota
Description: partial 18S ribosomal RNA
Rfam family: Eukaryotic small subunit ribosomal RNA
Source: RNAcentral